RNAcentral lists this ribosomal RNA (486 nucleotides) under uncultured bacterium. RNAcentral's name for it is "partial 16S ribosomal RNA". It matches the Rfam family "Bacterial small subunit ribosomal RNA", at positions 30 to 507 of the family's 1533-position model. The record is from RNAcentral.
AUUGAACGCUGGCGGCAUGCCUUACACAUGCAAGUCGAACGGCAGCACGGGUGCUUGCACCUGGUGGCGAGUGGCGAACGGGUGAGUAAUACAUCGGAACAGGUCCUGUAGUGGGGGAUAGCCCGGCGAAAGCCGGAUUAAUACCGCAUACGAUCCACAGAGGAAAGCGGGGGACCGUCGGGCCUCUCCCUAUAGGGUUGGCCGAUGGCUGAUUAGCUAGUUGGUGGGGUAAAGGCCUACCAAGGCGACGAUCAGUAGCUGGUCUGAGAGGACGACCAGCCACACUGGGACUGAGACACGGCCCAGACUCCUACGGGAGGCAGCAGUGGGGAAUUUUGGACAAUGGGCGAAAGCCUGAUCCAGCAAUGCCGCGUGUGUGAAGAAGGCCUUCGGGUUGUAAAGCACUUUUGUCCGGAAAGAAAUCCUUGACUCUAAUACAGUCGGGGGAUGACGGUACCGGAAGAAUAAGCACCGGCUAACUACGUG